GUCUGUAUGAAGUUAUAUGGAGUCUGACCUGCCCAUUGAAUAAUUUAAAAGGCCGCGGUAUACUAACUGUGCAAAGGUAGCAUAAUCAUUAGUUUUUUAAUUGAAGGCUUGUAUGAACGGUUGGACAAAGGAUAAUCUGUUUUUAUUUUUGUUUUUGAAUUUAACUUUUAAGUGAAAAGGCUUAAAUAAAUUUAAGGGACGAUAAGACCCUAUAAAUCUUUACAUUUAGUUAUUUUUUUAUUAAUUUGUAAUGUAGAUAAAGAUAAAUAAAUAAUAUUUGUUGUAUUGGGGUGAUAAGAAUAUAAAAAUUAACUGUUCUAAAUUUAUAAUCAAAGUUAUUUGAAAAUAAUAGAUCCUUUUUAGAGAUUAAAAGUUUAAGUUACUUUAGGGAUAACAGCGUUAUUUUUCUUGAGAGUUCUUAUCGAAAGAAAAGUUUGCGACCUCGAUGUUGAAUUAAAAUUUCUUUAUGGUGUAGUAGUUAUAAGAGAGAGUCUGUUCGACUUUUAAAUUUUUACAUGAUUUGAGUUCAGACCGGCGUAAG
This 541-nucleotide ribosomal RNA is filed under the name Raymunida formosanus. RNAcentral describes it as "partial 16S ribosomal RNA". It matches the Rfam family "Bacterial large subunit ribosomal RNA", at positions 1831 to 2625 of the family's 2925-position model. Lineage: Eukaryota; Metazoa; Arthropoda; Malacostraca; Decapoda; Munididae. The record is from RNAcentral.